This 574-nucleotide ribosomal RNA is filed under the name uncultured bacterium. RNAcentral's name for it is "bacterial SSU rRNA". It matches the Rfam family "Bacterial small subunit ribosomal RNA", at positions 338 to 915 of the family's 1533-position model. The record is from RNAcentral.
CCUACGGGAGGCAGCAGUAAGGAAUAUUGGUCAAUGGACGCAAGUCUGAACCAGCCAUGCCGCGUGAAGGAUUAAGGCCAUCUGGGUUGUAAACUUCUUUUAUAGGGGACGAAAAAAGGGCAUUCUUGCUCACUUGACGGUACCCUAGGAAUAAGCACCGGCUAACUCCGUGCCAGCAGCCGCGGUAAUACGGAGGGUGCAAGCGUUAUCCGGAUUUACUGGGUUUAAAGGGUGCGUAGGUGGGUUGGUAAGUCAGUGGUGAAAUCUUCGAGCUUAACUCGGAAACUGCCAUUGAUACUAUCAAUCUUGAAUCAUCUAGAGGUAAGCGGAAUAUGUCAUGUAGCGGUGAAAUGCUUAGAUAUGACAUAGAACACCAAUUGCGAAGGCAGCUUACUAUGGAUGCAUUGACACUGAGGCACGAAAGCGUGGGGAUCAAACAGGAUUAGAUACCCUGGUAGUCCACGCCCUAAACGAUGGAUACUCGACAUUUGUGAUAUACAAUAAGUGUCUGAGCGAAAGCAUUAAGUAUCCCACCUGGAAGUACGACGCAAGGUUGAAACUCAAAGGAUUGAGG